Molecule: ribosomal RNA, 251 nt
Filed under: uncultured bacterium
Lineage: Bacteria
Description: partial 16S ribosomal RNA
Rfam family: Bacterial small subunit ribosomal RNA
Source: RNAcentral
CGAGAUCGAGAGAUGGAGCAAAUCCCAAAAAUAACGUCCCAGUUCGGACUGUAGUCUGCAACCCGACUACACGAAGCUGGAAUCGCUAGUAAUCGCGGAUCAGAAUGCCGCGGUGAAUACGUUCCCGGGUCUUGUACACACCGCCCGUCACACCAUGGGAGUCAGUAACGCCCGAAGUCAGUGACCUAACCGAAAGGGAGGAGCUGCCGAAGGCGGGACGGAUGACUGGGGUGAAGUCGUAACAAGGUACC